Molecule: long non-coding RNA, 540 nt
Organism: Leptidea sinapis
Lineage: Eukaryota; Metazoa; Arthropoda; Insecta; Lepidoptera; Pieridae
Exons: 3
Source: RefSeq, a predicted model, not a curated record
UAUAAAUAUACAGCCUCUUGUGGAUUUCUGUUCUAGAGAUCUGUGUGCCAUAAGGCUGAAUUCCAACAAAGACAUAAACAACCUCAACAUCGUUAUUGCAUCAGCCUACAUGCAUGAGGCGGAUGCGGUACCACGUGAAGGACUUAACACACUAAUCAGAUUCUGCGAACAAAAUGGAUGGGAACUGAUUGUGUCAACGGACUCCAAUGCCCAUCAUCCGCUAUGGGGAAUGGAAGCAAGCAACAAUAGAGAAAACUGCUGGCAAACCACCUAUGAGAUUGUCACCUACAACAAGGUGAAAUGGGCGGUGGACAGCUUCCAGCCUUUCAAGUCAGCGGGCACAGAUGGCGUCUUUCCUGCACUGCUACAGUGGGGAGGAGGAAAGUUGUUGUGUCACGGACAGCCCUCUAUGCAGAGGUUGCCUGGGGGCAGAGGAAACAGCUGCUCACGUUCUGCUGGAAUGCAGUGAGGUGGCAAACUACAGGGCGAAGCACCUGGGGUCACCAGGCGCUCUUCGGGAAGUCUUCUGCGACGUUAAGA